Molecule: ribosomal RNA, 254 nt
Filed under: uncultured Chytridiomycota
Lineage: Eukaryota; Fungi; Chytridiomycota
Description: partial 18S ribosomal RNA
Rfam family: Eukaryotic small subunit ribosomal RNA
Source: RNAcentral
AAGCUCGUAGUUGAAUUUCGGGUUCAGUAUAGCAGUGAUUCCUCACGGAAUUACGUUUUAUUGAAUCCUUCCUUCUGGGGAACUAUGGUGCUCUUUAAUGAGUGCUAUAAGGAUCCAGAACCUUUACUUUGAAAAAAUUAGAGUGUUUAAGGCAGGCUUACGCUUGAAUACAUUAGCAUGGAAUAAUAGAAUAGGACUUUGGUUCUAUUUUGUUGUUUCUAGGACCAAAGUAAUGAUUAAUAGGGAUAGUUGGG